UAGAAAAAGGCGCCAUGCACCGUGUUUGUGUAACCGCCGCGAUAUGUGAGGGAAGAAACAAACAAGAAGAGGAUAACGGAGUGAGACGUUUGGAUGAUUACAUGAGUCAUUAUGUGCUGCAGACGACGUAUCAAGAUCAGUACAGUUUUGUUUCUGGAGAUACAAUGUGGAGACCAGACAGACCAGUACUGAAGAGGUAACAAACCAAAGGAUGAGGACAGUAGUUUUUCUGUGCCAGCCGUGAUACAUACAGAAACAUCCUUUGUGAAGAUGUGUUAGAGAAGCUUACAAGGCAAGAUUUAGUUUUUUAUAUAUGAAAAAUAGGGAUAUUUAUAUAUUUUUUGUAAUUGGUAGAGUUAUGUUUUAUUCCCUGUAACAGUAGGAAUAAUGCAUUUUGUAAAAAUCUAAUCUAUUUUUAAAGCCCAGUGUCAAUGAAGAUGACGUGUUCAGUGGUGGUCAGAUGUGGUCAAAAGUUUACACACACAUUGCAGAAUAUACUGCUUCAUCAGAGUAGUAAUUGUAUUUUUUUAAGUUAUUCUACCUCUCUACUCUCUUACUGCUUAAAUUAUUAACAUUUUGCUGAUAAUGCAAGGUGUAUAUAAACUUUAGACUGCAACUGUGUCUAUUGCUUUCACUCAACUGAACCAUUUAUAA
This is a long non-coding RNA of Carassius gibelio (silver crucian carp), 654 nucleotides long. RefSeq lists it as uncharacterized. The transcript has 3 exons. Lineage: Eukaryota; Metazoa; Chordata; Actinopteri; Cypriniformes; Cyprinidae. The record is from RefSeq and is a predicted model, not a curated record.